AACGAACGCUGGCGGCAGGCCUAACACAUGCCAGUCGAGCGAGGACUUCGGUCCUAGCGGCGGACGGGUGAGUAACGCGUGGGAACGUGCCCUUUGCUUCGGAAUAGCCCUGGGAAACUGGGAGUAAUACCGGAUGAGCCCUUUGGGGGAAAGAUUUAUCGGCGAAGGAUCGGCCCGCGUUGGAUUAGGUAGUUGGUGGGGUAAUGGCCUACCAAGCCGACGAUCCAUAGCUGGUUUGAGAGGAUGAUCAGCCACCCUGGGACUGAGACAAGGCCCAGACCCUAAGGGAGGGACGCAAGGGGGAAUCAUAAACAGUGGGGGAAACCCGAAUCUACCCGGGCCGGGUAGGCAAGGAGGGCCUUAGGUUUGUAAAGCCUUUUAAGCGGGAAGGAUAAGAAGGGAACCAACAAAAAAGCCCCCGCUAAACUCGGG
RNAcentral lists this ribosomal RNA (432 nucleotides) under uncultured bacterium. RNAcentral describes it as "partial 16S ribosomal RNA". It matches the Rfam family "Bacterial small subunit ribosomal RNA", at positions 29 to 507 of the family's 1533-position model. The record is from RNAcentral.